UACGUAGGGUGCAAGCGUUGUCCGGAAUUAUUGGGCGUAAAGCGCUUGUAGGCGGUUUGUCGCGUCUGCUGUGAAAUUUCGGGGCUCAACCCCGAACUUGCAGUGGGUACGGGCAGACUAGAGUGUGGUAGGGGAGACUGGAAUUCCUGGUGUAGCGGUGAAAUGCGUAGAUAUCGGGAGGAACAUCGAUGGCGAAGGCAAUCACCUGGGCCUGGACUGACACUGUGACACGAAAGCGUGGGUAGCAAACAGG
This 253-nucleotide ribosomal RNA is filed under the name uncultured bacterium. RNAcentral describes it as "partial 16S ribosomal RNA". It matches the Rfam family "Bacterial small subunit ribosomal RNA", at positions 524 to 776 of the family's 1533-position model. The record is from RNAcentral.